CAGUACCCCACAGGUUCCGAGUUGGAGACAAAGUCUUGGUCAGAUGGCAUCGAACCAGCAGCCUCGAGCCACGGUGAAAGGGACCCUAUUUGGUGUUACUGACAACCCCUACUGCGGUAAAAGUUGACGGGAUUGCCUCCUGGAUCCACGCCUCCCACGUCAAGAGGGCCGCCAGUCAAGAUAAAGAAAACCACGAAGACAAUUGGACAGUGGCAGCCACUGACAAUCCUCUUAAGCUUCGUUUGCGCCGCAGGCGCCACCCUGAGCCUAGGGAACCACAACCCUCAUGCUCCAAUUCAACAGUCUUGGGAAGUGCUUAAUGAGGAGGGAAACAUUGUAUGGGCAACCACUGCAGUCCAUCCUCUCUGGACUUGGUGGCCUGAUCUCACACCUGACAUCUGUAAGUUAGCAGCAGGAUCCCCCAAUUGGGACCUCCCCGAUCAUACUGAUCUUAGCAACCCACCCUCUGAACAGCGGUGUGUCCCGGGCGGAAUAGGGAACUCGUAUGGAUGUUCGGGGCAGUUCUACCGAGCUAAUCUUAGAGCUGCACAAUUUUAUGUUUGCCCUGGUCAGGGUCGGAGCAAAAGGCUUCAACAAGAAUGUGGAGGGGCAUCAGAUUACUUUUGUGGUAAAUGGACAUGUAAAACGACAGGGGAAGCUUACUGGAAGCCUCCUCUGACUGGGACCUAAUCACGGUAAAACGAGGUAGUGGCUAUGAUAAGUCAAACCAAGGAGAAAGAAACCCCUAUAAAUAUCCAGAGAAUGGGUGCGCUUUUAAAAACAGCCCCCCAGGAUCAUGCAAAGGUAAAUACUGCAACCCCCUACUCAUAAAGUUCACCGAGAAAGGGAAACAACACCGUCUGAGUUGGCUUAAAGAAAAUAGGUGGGGUUGGCGAGUAUACAUUCCACUAAGAGACCCUGGGUUCAUUUUCACGAUCAGACUGACAGU
This 949-nucleotide long non-coding RNA is filed under the name Mus musculus (house mouse). RNAcentral's name for it is "long non-coding RNA chr2:68135663-68136612". Lineage: Eukaryota; Metazoa; Chordata; Mammalia; Rodentia; Muridae. The record is from RNAcentral.